AAGGAAGAAAUCCACGGAUGGAUUUCUAGGUUUUUCUGAGUCAGGACGACUCAUAAAAACCGGUCCU
Molecule: non-coding RNA, 67 nt
Organism: Vibrio mangrovi
Lineage: Bacteria; Pseudomonadati; Pseudomonadota; Gammaproteobacteria; Vibrionales; Vibrionaceae
Source: Rfam